UGGUAAGUUUGUUUUUGGUAUAAGCUUUUGUGUGCAUGCACACUUCUUCAGAUGUAAAGAUUGGUAUCUGAAGAAGUGUGCAUGCACACAAAAGCUUAUACCAAGAACAAACUUAGUUGG
RNAcentral lists this microRNA precursor (120 nucleotides) under Podarcis lilfordi (Lilford's wall lizard). The record is from RNAcentral. Lineage: Eukaryota; Metazoa; Chordata; Lepidosauria; Squamata; Lacertidae.